GAUGAACGCUGGCGGCGUGCCUAAUACAUGCAAGUCGAGCGAACGGACGAGAAGCUUGCUUCUCUGAUGUUAGCGGCGGACGGGUGAGUAACACGUGGAUAACCUACCUAUAAGACUGGGAUAACUUCGGGAAACCGGAGCUAAUACCGGAUAAUAUUUUGAACCGCAUGGUUCAAAAGUGAAAGACGGUCUUGCUGUCACUUAUAGAUGGAUCCGCGCUGCAUUAGCUAGUUGGUAAGGUAACGGCUUACCAAGGCAACGAUGCAUAGCCGACCUGAGAGGGUGACCGGCCACACUGGAACUGAGCCACGGUCCAGACUCCUACGGGAGGCAGCAGUAGGGAAUCUUCCGCAAUGGGCGAAAGCCUGACGGAGCAACGCCGCGUGAGUGAUGAAGGUCUUCGGAUCGUAAAACUCUGUUAUUAGGGAAGAACAUAUGUGUAAGUAACUGUGCACAUCUUGACGGUACCUAAUCAGAAAGCCACGGCUAACUACGUG
RNAcentral lists this ribosomal RNA (497 nucleotides) under uncultured bacterium. Its description in RNAcentral is "partial 16S ribosomal RNA". It matches the Rfam family "Bacterial small subunit ribosomal RNA", at positions 28 to 507 of the family's 1533-position model. The record is from RNAcentral.